This is a small nuclear RNA of Callithrix jacchus (white-tufted-ear marmoset), 164 nucleotides long. Its record names the gene U1. It matches the Rfam family "U1 spliceosomal RNA". Rfam says of the family: U1 is a small nuclear RNA (snRNA) component of the spliceosome (involved in pre-mRNA splicing). Its 5' end forms complementary base pairs with the 5' splice junction, thus defining the 5' donor site of an intron. The record is from Ensembl. NCBI's taxonomy places the organism in Eukaryota, Metazoa, Chordata, Mammalia, Primates, Cebidae.
AUACUUACCUGGCAGGGGAGAUACCAUGAUCACAAAGGUGGUUUUCCCAGGGUGAGUCUUACCCAUUGCACUCCGGGUGUGAUGACCCCUGCGAUUUCCCCAAAUGUGGAAAAUUCGACUGCAUAAUUUGUGAUAGUGGGGGACUGCGUUUGCGCUUUCCCCUG